This 75-nucleotide transfer RNA is filed under the name Sphaerodactylus townsendi. RNAcentral describes it as "tRNA-Val". Lineage: Eukaryota; Metazoa; Chordata; Lepidosauria; Squamata; Sphaerodactylidae. The record is from RNAcentral.
GACCUGUGACUCAGUGGCAGAGCAUCUGCCUGACAUGCAGAAGGUCCCUGGUUCAAUCUCCAGUAUCUCAAGUCA